RNAcentral lists this ribosomal RNA (574 nucleotides) under uncultured fungus. RNAcentral's name for it is "partial 18S ribosomal RNA". It matches the Rfam family "Eukaryotic small subunit ribosomal RNA", at positions 1199 to 1790 of the family's 1831-position model. Lineage: Eukaryota; Fungi. The record is from RNAcentral.
CUCACCNCGGGGGAACUCCCCCAGGUCCAGACAUAGUAAGGANNACAGAUUGAGANNUCUUUUNUNGAUUCUAUGGGUGGNGNUGCAUGGCCGUUNUUAGNNNGGUGGAGUGAUUUGUCUGGUUAANUCCGUUAACGAACGAGACCUUAACCUGCUAAAUAGUUAGGCCAACGUUUGNNGGUCGUCANNUUNUUAGAGGGACUAUUGACUAUUAGUCAAUGGAAGUUUGAGGCAAUAACAGGUCUGUGAUGCCCUUAGAUGUUNUGGGCCGCACGCGCGCUACACUGAUCAAGUCAACGAGUUUACAACCUUGGCCGGAAGGUCUGGGUAAUCUUUUGAAACUUGAUCGUGCUGGGGAUAGUCCAUUGCAAUUAUUGGACUUCAACGAGGAAUUCCUAGUAAGCGUGAGUCAUCAGCUCGCGUUGAUUACGUCCCUGCCCUUUGUACACACCGCCCGUCGCUACUACCGAUUGAAUGGCUUAGUGAGGCUUUCGGAUUGGACUUUGGCAGCUGGCAACAGCAGCUAGAGACUAANAANNNNUCCAAACUUGGUCAUUUAGAGGAAGUAAAAGUU